CAGCCGCCACGGGAAUACGUAGGGUGCGAGCGUUAAUCGGAAUUACUGGGCGUAAAGCGUGCGCAGGCGGUUAUGUAAGACAGGUGUGAAAUCCCCGGGCUUAACCUGGGAACUGCGCUUGUGACUGCACAGCUAGAGUAUGGCAGAGGGGGGUGGAAUUCCACGUGUAGCAGUGAAAUGCGUAGAGAUGUGGAGGAACACCGAUGGCGAAGGCAGCCCCCUGGGCCAAUACUGACGCUCAUGCACGAAAGCGUGGGGAGCAACCAGGAUUAGAUACCCCAGUAGUCCCUGUCUCUUAUAA
RNAcentral lists this ribosomal RNA (301 nucleotides) under uncultured bacterium. RNAcentral's name for it is "partial 16S ribosomal RNA". It matches the Rfam family "Bacterial small subunit ribosomal RNA", at positions 509 to 809 of the family's 1533-position model. The record is from RNAcentral.